Molecule: long non-coding RNA, 6605 nt
Filed under: Pelobates cultripes (western spadefoot toad)
Lineage: Eukaryota; Metazoa; Chordata; Amphibia; Anura; Pelobatidae
Source: RNAcentral
AAAUUAUGUUAUCUCUAAGAGAUAGAUUGAUAAAUUCCACUUAUACAUCUUUCUCCUUAAUAGACGUAAGUUUGUGCCAUUUCCUGAUGGCCAAUAUUAUAUGUGGUCUUAGCCACUUCUCUUUCCAAGCAGGUUAUGGAAUUUUUUUCAGAAGCAGCACGUCCUCCUACAAGUCCUCAUAGCAAUGUAUUGCUAAGAUGUUUCACUUUUUUGUUUUGUUUUAGAGAAAUUUGUGUCUAUGUGUUAAUGCAUAAAUAAGAGGAAAACCUGCAGAAAAAAAAAUAUUGCCUCAUUGGGCACUUUUUUAUUGUUUGUUUUCUGCUCUUACUCAGGUUUCUGAUCCAUAAGCAUUCUCGUGUUUAAAUUUAUAAAGAAUCCAAUCUGUAUCAUCUAGAUAUUUUUGAUGACGAUCCAAAGCGAGUAUACCUGUGCUAUAGACUUUUGUCGACUACAGCUUGGAUUUGGGGGGGUUUAGUUUUUUUUUUUGUUGUUUUUUUUUUUUUUUUCAUGAAAGUGUGGAAGGGCCACAUUGAAAGCCCGUUUCUUUCUUCAUGAGAAGGUGAUAACUGCCUAAAUGUUUCUUACUGUGAAACAAAGGGAACGUCUAGCUACCGUCAGGGUUUUCUCUGGCUUUCUGAGGAUGGGCCUUUGGCUGCUCUAUCAGUUCUCCCCGUUGUCUGUGAUUUGCAUGGUGGGCACAAUGAAGGGCCACAAUGCAAAUAAACAGCAAAAAAAUACAGGGCUUUGAAUAUUGGUAAAUGAACGCAAAAUAUGUACUUUUGAAAGAUACAGCUGGAAGAUCAGUAGAAUCAUUUUAUCCCAUAAGAUAAAAAUGGUGGAAGUGUUCUUUUAAUAAUCAAAUCCAUCGGAAUAAAUGGAAAAAGUGGAAUAUGUACAUAAUAUUCGUAUUAUGCCUGCAUUAUUGUGAAAUAGUUUUAAUUUUGAUACAGUAGUCGUGUUUCUAAUUGGAAGUUCUCAGAUGGCAAUUUUAUUGCCAGUUUAAUUGUCUUUAUCGUUGACUGUAUUUACAAAAAUAAUUCAAAUUAUUUUAGCCCCAAACAAUCAGAGGCAAGGCUGUAGUCUGCAUAUGUCUGAAGAUAGAUUGUGUAUGAGUCACCUAAAUCAAACAAGACUUUGCUGUAGUUUUUACUACAUGAUUAGCUAUAGUGUGAUUGCUUAAUAUGAUUUAGUCAAUGUGUGUCAAAUAACAAUAUAUCGGUAUGUGUGUGUUUUUAUAUAGAUCUAUAUAAACACACAAACAUUUGCUGUUUUGUUUACAUGCAUUACCAUUACUUUCAGAUUGCUUAAUCUGAUGGUGGGCCUAUUCAUUGAGAGUCUCUUUUAACCAAUCCAAGUGUGCCACCUCAAUGCCAACAGGGGAGGGCAGCCAAAUUACCACCUCGCAUAACCAGAAAUGACCUUUUGUUUGUUGAUACAAAUUGUAUCUUUUUUUUCUUGAUUGUAUUUAAAAUAAAACUGAGGAAAAUGUGUGUGUAAAUAUAUACAUAUGUUUAACAUAAAAAAUAUGACGUAAAUAAUGAUUGGGUAUUGUUAGAGCGACGCAUUUUCACUGCUAUGUGUGUGACACUAUGUGUCACUUUGUUGUAGCCCAAGGUGUGGACCCUCUUUUCUGCAAGAAGAUCCUGCAAGCUCCUUGUUUUGUAUAUUCUAGAAAAACACGAGUUGCAGGUCUAGCCAGCAGUGACAAGGUCAAAUAAAACUCCUUUAUGACUGGGCAAAGUAGUUUAUUAUGAAAUAUGGACCUUUUCAAGUUAACUUUAUAUAGAUAUAAAGAGCUGUAUAUAUAGCUCUGUAUAGCUAAUGUGCAGGACUGAAAGCAUUCUAUUUAUUUAACUAACUUUAUGUUCACAUUAAGAAUUAUUUAAAUGGACACUUGAUGUUAUUGAAGUGCUUGUAAAUUGUGCACUGCAAAAGCAUUAUUGAGGAUUUUAUGCCACUGAAAUGCUUACGUAGCAGUAUUUUUCAGAUGUUCAACAUGCCGUGAACCAUUCUGUGAGUGUGGGUUUUACAUGUUUUUUUUUUUUUUUAGAUAUUAUUUUGUUUUGUUGCAUGAUAAUUCUUGCUAAAUUACUGAAUUUCUGAUACUGUAUCUUUGUAUCUGCACUAAAGUAACAAAGCAAGGUCAGUGGGAGAGAUGUCAAAAGCCACUGGGCAGUAGACACCUUUGCUGCCUUUGCUGUAUUGGUCUUGAUUCUACUUUAAAGUAGUGAGUACUUUUUAAAAAGACUUAUUUAUGUAUCUAUGUAUUUUACCGCUUGUGAAGAGUAAGGACACUAGUUAUCAGAUUCAGAACUUGUUUGUAUUUCUUGAACUUUUAUUUUGCUGCUCUAUGUGAUUUAUUUAUAGCAUAGCUCACCCUUCACUGAACUGAAAUAUUCUAUAUUCAGGAGUAUUUUAAAAUAUUCUAUUGUAAAGCACAUAUUUUAUAUCUUUUUUUAUUGUUUGCAUAAUAAAAUACUUCUAAUUCUGCUUGUAGGCUCUGAUUGAAUUUUUUUUUAAUGUGUAAAUGUAGGUACUGUUUACCCUCAUGGGCUUCCUUUCCUGUUAGCACUGUCAAAAUCUCAACAGGCUUUGAGCUAACAAUAGGGUUACAUGGAGUGAAUUGUGAGAAAAAGGAGACUGUCUUAAGCCUGCAAGUAAAAUAAUAUUGUGAUUGUGCCUUUAGGAAGGAAGCAUACCCAUAAUGCUAAAUUGUGCCAACAUUUAUAUUUAAAACUCAACACAAUUGAAAGAAAAGAAAUAAAGCAUAAAAUAGAAUUUGGAGAAUAUUUUUAUGCAACAAAUAGAAGAUACACUUUAAUGGAAAUUAAACAGCAAACUGUCUAGUAUCACCGUUACAUUAACUAACACCACUAUUUGCUGAAUACUGGUAUAUUCCAUGUGUAAAUCACAUGGCUACAUUUUAUGGGAGCAGCCAUUUUGCUUUUUCUGGCAGAAUAAAGCAGAAAUAUUGUGAAUUCUAGUACCACAAGUUAAAGCUGUAAUAUUGCCAGGGUAUCUUAUCUGCGAGUUUAAUGAUCUCAACUGCUAACUGUUGAUGUGUUCUGCUGCUCCUUUGCUGCCAUUGAAACACCUAUCACUUAAUAAUAGGUUUGGGUUCCAAAGCUGCUUGUUAUACUAUUGGCUUUAGAACAGAGCUUAGAGGACCACAAAAGUCAUCCAGACCACUUCAGUUCAAUCAGUGGUCCUGUACUUUUAAAAACAUUGUCGUGUUGCAGAAAGAGCAAUGUUUACCUUGAAGAUUUAAAGACGCCUUUAGUGGUUGCCAUACUAACAGCCACUAGAGGAUUUUCCUCUGCACUGACCGAGUAAAACUCUGUUACACGAUGCAGAAGUUCAUAGAAAAACAUUGGAUUUAAUGUUUUCCUAAGACAAGCAUUGUAUGCACAUCAGGCUCCCAAUGCUCCUCUGUGAGGAGCGUUGGAUGGGACCAUUGCCAGAGGAAGCUAUGUAUCCUCAAUGACAUUGCGGGAAGCAUACAAAUGAGCAUGGCUGAGGGAGGGGAAGAAAGUGAGUAAAAGCUUUAUUUUAUACAUUUUUAUGGCAAAUGGGGAGGGGUGGCUGUAUAUAACUAGAGACAGGGGCACUGUAGUGUUGGGAAUACAGGUUUGGAUUACUAUUGUGAUAGUAAUACUAUUGUUAAAUUGUGACUUUCCAGCUACCAAUGGGUUAAAUUGACCAUCAUCCUGGUGUUUGAAGUUCAUAGAUGGAUAAUUACUUUUUACAUGCCAUGCUAUAGUAGUACUUUUUUCUCUACAGAUAUAUUUUACAAAAACCAGUCACAUUAUUAAUCUAUUCAAAUGUUGCAGUUUUCUUUUCCUUACACUGUAUAGUGUGACUCCAUUUAUUUUGUAUGCAGGUAGGAGUGCAUAAAUAGUUACACUGUAUAUGUAUAUAGAUUAUACCCUGCCUACUCUACAUUUAUAAUGGACUUUUUUCAGGAGGUAGUGGAGUAGAGAAUUAAUUUACAAUUUACUUCCUAAUUCAUUAUAAUCUAUAUAACCCAUUUAGCACCCAUACCCUUCAAUAUACUAAUAGGUGCAGUGGGUUAGGACACCAGUGCAAGAUUUAAUGCAUGUUUUCAGUAUUCAUGCUGGUUCUUCAGAGUAUAUAUACUGCUAAGAGAACCAGUCAUAUAGCCAAAUAUUUUGUUCCUAUGGAAAGUUGAUUUAAAAAAAAAAAAUGUACAUUUUACUAUUUGAUUUUUGUUUUGUAAUGUACGGUUAUAAGUGGUUGUCUUGACACCUGCAAAUCUCAAUGAAGAUCAUUUGCACCCUGUUUUGUAAUGUUAUCUAUUCAAUAUUCCUUAAAUUUUUUGAAGUUUCUUUCUGUUAAUUUAAUGGGCUAUUUUCUUUCUGUACUCCUUUUAUUAGAUAUCAUUGUUCUCUUUGUUAAUCAGAUUCAUGUGUAGUUUGUCAAAUUGCCACAAGAGCACUUCCUUCUAAACAAUCUACAACAUAGAAGUGACUUAUGGCGUGGAAUAUAACCUUUUCAAAAGUUGGUUGGUUUUUUUCUUCUUCUUCUCUUUCCUACUUAUGUACUGUAGUUUAGCACAUUGAUUCAAAUGUUGACAUUCCAUGUGCUGCAUACGGUAACUCAUUUCAUAUUCUUAAAGUCAGUUGCUGGUAGUCUCCUCAGAAUGUCGAAUCAUAUGUAUACCCAGAGAUUAAUAGUUGCAUGCUUUUGUCUGACUGUACCCAAACAAAAGCUAAGGGCCAUUCCACCUGUUUCAAGAGUGAACUCAAAGCUGAGUCCAAGUGAAUUCAGUGAAGACUCAAUUGGUGGGACCUCAGGACAGUGGCUUUACGGUGUGCAAACACAUCUUCAAGAUAUCAUGUUUCAUGAGGUGCUACAACCUGUAGCCUUGUGAACACACUCAUUGUGUGAAGAUUUUCCUACUAAAUAGCUAAGUCAGUCACAUCUUGGUUGUAGAACAUCGUAAAGUGACAUUGUUGAAGUGUUUACAGAGGAGUUAUUAACAUUACAUAGUCGUGGCAUACUUUAUUCACAGAAUGGUAGAAUGCACAAACACUACUGUUAAGUUUAAAUCCUAUGAAAAUAUAUUUUUGUUAAUUACGCAUUCUUUUCUAAAGCACUUUUUUUUAAUGGCCAACACCAAUGGAAUGUGAUUUCUGUUGUAUCUAUAGUAUUAUGAUUUGGCUGAAAUAUCCUUCCUGGAGUAAAGUUCCCGGAAUUUAGGCCUUUAUCAGAAUUCUAGUAGAACAGUGAUGUAUCAGUCUUAUUGAUUUUUUUUUAAUUUAUUUUUUUGAUUUUUUUAACUAUAAUGCUGAUUUUUAGAACUAUGCCGAUUUCAAGUUAUGGCAUUAAGAAAAUGGUCGCCGUCUUUAGAGAAGCGGCAUAGAAAAUCUUUUUCAGAUACAAUAUCAAAUGUGCCAGAAAAUGUUCUGAAUUUUAGCAGGCCAUUUGCAAAUAAGACCACCUAACAAUGUCAAGGCAUAUGCAGGUUCAAAAAAUGUUUCCUUCCUCUUGUACUUUUUCCCCCCACUUUUUGUUUGUUUUUUUGCUCUACUUUAUUUUGAAGAAUUGUAAUUUAAGAAAACAUCAUUCCAUUUUUCCUAUAUAGCUUUUCAGGCCAGCAAUGUCCUCCAUUUACUGGCAUGUUAUCAUAAUUUAGUGGUAGAGGGCCAAGGAUGGUUGAGUAGAAAAUAACGUAGGUAAAAAAUGGUCAGUAAAUAGACACAAUAACAAUGCUGCAGUCUCAUGACAACAGCAUCAUACCACUGGGGGAAACAAUGCAUGACAGUAGACCAAUGUACAGAAGUGUGUUCACCUGCCUGUGAUUGGGAGUUACAGGUCUAUAACACCUUGAAGGCAGGUCCCUCCAUGAACCUAGUUCCCACUAACUGUAAGUCUCCAUAGCAUUACUUCAACCCUACCCCCUCCAACUUAACCUUUGUAAUAUACGUUUUAUUUAAUUAUGUUUUAUUGUGUCACUAUGUAUCAUCCUUUGUUUUAUAUAUAUAUAUAUAAUUUUUAUUAUUUAUUUUUUUACUUUGUGACUUUUAUAUGUAUACAAGGUUGGACAUCAUGGUUUACAUCUUUACAUGGUAAAGUAAUUAACAAAUAGGUGAAAAUGUUGACUUAAUAUGAUGCCAUGGUGAUUUCUCCCCGUUUCAUCUUUGAAAUUGAGAAGGCUUCAUAGUGCAGUGUACAUCUGUGGCAUUCAGAAGGCAACUGAAAUUGGUCACUAUAUAUCCCUCUGCUUUUGAGAUAUUUUAUUAAAUUGUUGUGUGGAGCUGCAUAGUUAUGACUUUUCUGUUCCACUGUCAUAACUCUGUUUUUUAUUUCUUAGAAUGAAACGUUACUGCGUAAUUGUAUGUUACAUUUUAUACAACCUCUUUGGGUUUAUUUUGGUGAACCCAAAUAUUAUGUAAGUCUUAAUGACAAAAUACUUGGACGUUAAUAAAAAUAAAUAUAAUUUGUGGCGUGUUUGUAACUCAAUCAGUGUACUGGUUUUUAUUUCCCUUUUACCAGUUAAUGCAAAAGGAGUUUUUUUUGUUUGUUUUUUUACAAAAAUAUAAAAUGGAAUCAAGCAGGCUGCUGUUAUACAAUAUCUAUUACAU